GGAGGAAUAUUGGUCAAUGGGCGCAAGCCUGAACCAGCCAUCCCGCGUGAAGGAUGAAGGUCCUAUGGAUUGUAAACUUCUUUUGUGCACCAAGAAUGGGCCUUACGAGUAAGGUUUUGACGGUAGUGCACGAAUAAGCAUCGGCUAACUCCGUGCCAGCAGCCGCGGUAAUACGGAGGAUGCAAGCGUUAUCCGGAUUCAUUGGGUUUAAAGGGUACGUAGGCGGCCUGUUAAGUCAGUGGUGAAAGUU
RNAcentral lists this ribosomal RNA (250 nucleotides) under uncultured bacterium. RNAcentral's name for it is "partial 16S ribosomal RNA". It matches the Rfam family "Bacterial small subunit ribosomal RNA", at positions 355 to 602 of the family's 1533-position model. The record is from RNAcentral.